Molecule: ribosomal RNA, 259 nt
Filed under: uncultured Pseudomonas sp.
Lineage: Bacteria; Pseudomonadati; Pseudomonadota; Gammaproteobacteria; Pseudomonadales; Pseudomonadaceae
Description: partial 16S ribosomal RNA
Rfam family: Bacterial small subunit ribosomal RNA
Source: RNAcentral
UUAUGGUGGGCGACUCUAAGGAGGACUGCCGGUGACAAACCGGACGGAAGGUGGGGAUGACGUCAAGUCAUCAUGGCCUUACGGCCUGGGCUACACACGUGCUACAAUGGUCGGUACAAAGGGUUGCCAAGCCGCGAGGUGGAGCUAAUCCCAUAAAACCGAUCGUAGUCCGGAUCGCAGUCUGCAACUCGACUGCGUGAAGUCGGAAUCGCUAGUAAUCGUGAAUCAGAAUGUCACGGUGAAUACGUUCCCGGGCCUU